UGCUGCCGCGAGGCUGCUCCCCUCAAAUGCAUCGGUUGGACCUGUGGGUCGAACUCGACUGGGCGUUGUACCAUCCUCGCUCUUAACCGAGACGUUCCCCUUUGUCGUGUCCCUCCAUAGACCUGCCCGUAGGAGUCGGCGGUCAACACACUUUUUGAAAUUCUGACCUCAAAUCAGGUAGGACUACCCGCUGAACUUAA
RNAcentral lists this unclassified non-coding RNA (200 nucleotides) under soil metagenome. RNAcentral's name for it is "partial contains internal transcribed spacer 2 and large subunit ribosomal RNA". The record is from RNAcentral.